AGAGUUUGAUCCUGGCUCAGAUUGAACGCUGGCGGCAUGCCUUACACAUGCAAGUCGAACGGCAGCACGAGAGCUUGCUCUUGGUGGCGAGUGGCGAACGGGUGAGUAAUAUAUCGGAACGUACCCUAGAGUGGGGGAUAACGUAGCGAAAGUUACGCUAAUACCGCAUACGAUCUACGGAUGAAAGUGGGGGAUCGCAAGACCUCAUGCUCAUGGAGCGGCCGAUAUCUGAUUAGCUAGUUGGUGGGGUAAAAGCACACCAAGGCGACGAUCAGUAGCUGGUCUGAGAGGACGACCAGCCACACUGGAACUGAGACACGGUCCAGACUCCUACGGGAGGCAGCAGUGGGGAAUUUUGGACAAUGGGCGCAAGCCUGAUCCAGCAAUGCCGCGUGAGUGAAGAAGGCCUUCGGGUUGUAAAGCUCUUUUGUCAGGGAAGAAACGGUGGACUCUAAUACAGAUCACUAAUGACGGUACCUGAAGAAUAAGCACCGGCUAACUACGUGCCAGCAGCCGCGGUAAUACGUAGGGUGCAAGCGUUAAUCGGAAUUACUGGGCGUAAAGCGUGCGCAGGCGGUUGUGCAAGACAGAUGUGAAAUCCCCGGGCUCAACCUGGGAAUUGCAUUUGUGACUGCACGGCUAGAGUGUGUCAGAGGGGGGUAGAAUUCCACGUGUAGCAGUGAAAUGCGUAGAGAUGUGGAGGAAUACCGAUGGCGAAGGCAGCCCCCUGGGAUAACACCGACGCUCAUGCACGAAAGCGUGGGGAGCAAACAGGAUUAGAUACCCUGGUAGUCCACGCCCUAAACGAUGUCUACUAGUUGUCGGGUCUUAAUUGACUUGGUAACGCAGCUAACGCGUGAAGUAGACCGCCUGGGGAGUACGGUCGCAAGAUUAAAACUCAAAGGAAUUGACGGGGACCCGCACAAGCGGUGGAUGAUGUGGAUUAAUUCGAUGCAACGCGAAAAACCUUACCUACCCUUGACAUGUCUGGAAUCCUUGAGAGAUCAGGGAGUGCUCGAAAGAGAAUCAGAACACAGGUGCUGCAUGGCUGUCGUCAGCUCGUGUCGUGAGAUGUUGGGUUAAGUCCCGCAACGAGCGCAACCCUUGUCAUUAGUUGCUACGAAAGGGCACUCUAAUGGGACUGCCGGUGACAAACCGGAGGAAGGUGGGGAUGACGUCAAGUCCUCAUGGCCCUUAUGGGUAGGGCUUCACACGUCAUACAAUGGUACAUACAGAGGGCCGCCAACCCGCGAGGGGGAGCUAAUCCCAGAAAGUGUAUCGUAGUCCGGAUUGUAGUCUGCAACUCGACUACAUGAAGUUGGAAUCGCUAGUAAUCGCGGAUCAGCAUGUCGCGGUGAAUACGUUCCCGGGUCUUGUACACACCGCCCGUCACACCAUGGGAGCGGGUUUCACCAGAAGUGGGUAGCCUAACCGCAAGGAGGGCGCUCACCACGGUGGGAUUCGUGACUGGGGUGAAGUCGUAACAAGGUA
RNAcentral lists this ribosomal RNA (1491 nucleotides) under metagenome. Its description in RNAcentral is "bacterial SSU rRNA". It matches the Rfam family "Bacterial small subunit ribosomal RNA". The record is from RNAcentral.